RNAcentral lists this ribosomal RNA (295 nucleotides) under Salmonella enterica. RNAcentral's name for it is "partial 16S ribosomal RNA". It matches the Rfam family "Bacterial small subunit ribosomal RNA", at positions 680 to 974 of the family's 1533-position model. The record is from RNAcentral. Lineage: Bacteria; Pseudomonadati; Pseudomonadota; Gammaproteobacteria; Enterobacterales; Enterobacteriaceae.
GGUGAAAUGCGUAGAGAUCUGGAGGAAUACCGGUGGCGAAGGCGGCCCCCUGGACAAAGACUGACGCUCAGGUGCGAAAGCGUGGGGAGCAAACAGGAUUAGAUACCCUGGUAGUCCACGCCGUAAACGAUGUCUACUUGGAGGUUGUGCCCUUGAGGCGUGGCUUCCGGAGCUAACGCGUUAAGUAGACCGCCUGGGGAGUACGGCCGCAAGGUUAAAACUCAAAUGAAUUGACGGGGGCCCGCACAAGCGGUGGAGCAUGUGGUUUAAUUCGAUGCAACGCGAAGAACCUUAC